Molecule: transfer RNA, 72 nt
Filed under: Camelus bactrianus (Bactrian camel)
Lineage: Eukaryota; Metazoa; Chordata; Mammalia; Artiodactyla; Camelidae
Also listed under: 1 other name
Rfam family: tRNA
About the family: Transfer RNA (tRNA) molecules are approximately 80 nucleotides in length. Their secondary structure includes four short double-helical elements and three loops (D, anti-codon, and T loops).
Source: Rfam by way of RNAcentral
GAUGGUGUAGCUCAGUGGUAGAGCGUGUGCUUAGCAUGCAGGAGGUCCUGGGUUCAAUCCCCAGUACCUCCA